AGAGAAGCGAAGCUGCACGAACUGAGCUCUGGCCAGCAGUCCCGGGUGACGCUCGGGAUGACGGGUGCCCUUCUUCAGGAAAGCACCCCGGCCAGAGCAGCCACCCGACUGUGACUCUACUGGAAACGAUGAGAAAACCACGCAGUGGAACCAUGUGAGCCCCCACGCUAUAAUAGAUGGCCAGAAAAACAUGCAAUAGAAGAUUCGCUGGACUGAGGUCCUGACUUGGCCACCCAAAUUGUCUUAUCCUCAAUAAGUCGCGGGGUGUCUUAGAUGUCUAAUUUAUUCAUCAAUAAUAAUAACACCCAACACAAAGAUGAUGUCUCCAAGGAAGAUCUGGCUCCAUCCCAUGUGUUCACAUAUGCAAUGCUAUCAUAACUCCCUUUUAGGACAAAGAAGAUCUAUAAUUCCUGAAACUUUGUUAAGUUUGUGUGUGUGUGUGGGGGGGGGGUGAGUUCUAUUUCCUGCU
RNAcentral lists this long non-coding RNA (469 nucleotides) under Cricetulus griseus (Chinese hamster). RNAcentral's name for it is "lncRNA (ENSCGRG00015039999.1)". Lineage: Eukaryota; Metazoa; Chordata; Mammalia; Rodentia; Cricetidae. The record is from RNAcentral.